This 389-nucleotide RNase P RNA is filed under the name Deltaproteobacteria bacterium. RNAcentral describes it as "RNase P RNA component class A". It matches the Rfam family "Bacterial RNase P class A". From Rfam's summary of the family: Ribonuclease P (RNase P) is a ubiquitous endoribonuclease, found in archaea, bacteria and eukarya as well as chloroplasts and mitochondria. Its best characterised activity is the generation of mature 5'-ends of tRNAs by cleaving the 5'-leader elements of precursor-tRNAs. Cellular RNase Ps are ribonucleoproteins. Lineage: Bacteria; Pseudomonadati; Myxococcota; Myxococcia. The record is from RNAcentral.
AGAGCAGGGCAAAUGGCUGCUGUUCUAUGUUUUACAUAGAAGGGAGGAAAGUCCGGGCUCCACAGGGCAGGGUGCUGGGUAACACCCAGUCCCGGUGACGGGAAGGAAAGUGCCACAGAAAAUAUACCGCCUUAUCAGAGGCUGGUCUAUCUGAUUGGGUAAGGGUGAAAAGGCGAGGUAAGAGCUCACCGCUCCGUUGGUGACAUCGGAGGCUUGGCAAACCCCACCCGGAGCAAGACCAAAUAGGGGGACGUUUGAGGGUGGUCCGUCCGAGUCCCCGGGUAGGUCGCUUGAUCCCGAUAGCAAUAUUGGGGCUAGAUGAAUGGCCAUUGUUCCGUAGAGGGUGACUGAUACGGGAAACAGAACCCGGCUUAUGACCUGCUCUCACA